CCCUUAGAUGUUCUGGGCGGCCCGCGCACUACAAUGGCGUGUGCAGCGAGUGCCGAAGUAGAGUUUUCCGAGGUAUUCUUGCAAUGCUCGUUUUGAUGGGGAUAGACCCUUGCAACUGUUGGUUUUGAACGAGGAAUUCCUUGUAAGCAUGGUUUAUCAUCCGACGCUGAAUGCGUCCCUGCCCUUUGUACACACCGCCCGUCGCUCCUACCGAUGAGUCGUCCGGUGAAGUUCGUAGACCUCGUGAUCGCGGAUCACUGGGGGAAGCAAAAUGAACCUCGCGGUUUAGAGGAAGGAGAAGACGUAACA
This 309-nucleotide ribosomal RNA is filed under the name uncultured eukaryote. RNAcentral's name for it is "partial 18S ribosomal RNA". It matches the Rfam family "Eukaryotic small subunit ribosomal RNA", at positions 1470 to 1796 of the family's 1831-position model. The record is from RNAcentral.